CCUACGGGAGGCAGCAGUAAGGAAUAUUGGUCAAUGGACGCAAGUCUGAACCAGCCAUGCCGCGUGAAGGAUGAAGGUCCUCUGGAUUGUAAACUUCUUUUAUAGGGGGCGAAAAAAGGUUUUUCUAAAUCACUUGACAGUACCCUAUGAAUAAGCACCGGCUAACUCCGUGCCAGCAGCCGCGGUAAU
RNAcentral lists this ribosomal RNA (189 nucleotides) under uncultured bacterium. RNAcentral describes it as "partial 16S ribosomal RNA". It matches the Rfam family "Bacterial small subunit ribosomal RNA", at positions 338 to 524 of the family's 1533-position model. The record is from RNAcentral.